RNAcentral lists this long non-coding RNA (290 nucleotides) under Ananas comosus (pineapple). Its description in RNAcentral is "long non-coding RNA (ACOM_LNC019642)". The record is from RNAcentral. Lineage: Eukaryota; Viridiplantae; Streptophyta; Magnoliopsida; Poales; Bromeliaceae.
UCUGUUAUUCUAUAAAUACGUCCUUCUUUUCUCUCCCGAAAAGUGACGAUCGAAUAUGAUCUAAUUCGAAAGAAUCCACGAUAAAUCUUCCUUCUUCUCUUUCUUCUUCCUCUGUGGGAUUUCCACCUACGUUUCCGGGGUUUUGGAGUGUGGACAUAGAAGAGGACUCUGGUAGCCCUCUUCAAUUGACAUCCCUCGCAUCAGAUCCGCAUCAGAUCCGUGACGUAAGGCGUACGCGUGGGAGAAGGCAAGAAACGUGGGAGAUCCAGAAGCAUCGAGAUAAGGACGAU